RNAcentral lists this ribosomal RNA (126 nucleotides) under uncultured bacterium. Its description in RNAcentral is "partial 16S ribosomal RNA". It matches the Rfam family "Bacterial small subunit ribosomal RNA", at positions 355 to 473 of the family's 1533-position model. The record is from RNAcentral.
UGGGGAAUUUUGGACAAUGGGGGCAACCCUGAUCCAGCCAUGCCGCGUGCAGGAAGAAGGCCUUCGGGUUGUAAACUGCUUUCGGACAGAAAGAAAUCGUUCGCUCUAACAUAGCGGAUGGAUGAC